AGCGAACGCUGGCGGCAGGCCUAACACAUGCAAGUCGAACGAACUCUUCGGAGUUAGUGGCGGACGGGUGAGUAACACGUGGGAACGUGCCUUUAGGUUCGGAAUAACUCAGGGAAACUUGUGCUAAUACCGAAUGUGCCCUUCGGGGGAAAGAUUUAUCGCCUUUAGAGCGGCCCGCGUCUGGUUAGCUAGUUGGUGAGGUAACGGCUCACCGAGGCGACGAUCAGUAGCUGGUCUGAAGGGAUGGCCAUCCACACUGGGACUGAGACACGGCCCAGACUCCUACGGGAGGCAGCAGUGGGGAAUCUUGCGCAAUGGGCGAAAGCCUGACGCAGCCAUGCCGCGUGAAUGAUGAAGGUCUUAGGAUUGUAAAAUUCUUUCACCGGGGACGAUAAUGACGGUACCCGGAGAAGAAGCCCCGGCUAACUUCGUGCCAGCAGCCGCAGUAA
RNAcentral lists this ribosomal RNA (449 nucleotides) under uncultured bacterium. Its description in RNAcentral is "partial 16S ribosomal RNA". It matches the Rfam family "Bacterial small subunit ribosomal RNA", at positions 29 to 523 of the family's 1533-position model. The record is from RNAcentral.